UUGCAAAUAUUCUCACUAUCGUGAUUCUGUAAUAAUCAGGGAGGGCUAAACGUUCACUAUAUUAAGACCAUGCGUGUGUCCCCAGACCUAGUUCUUUUCCUUGGUCUGUUUUCAUAAACGCUGGGGAUAAAC
Molecule: small nucleolar RNA, 132 nt
Organism: Camelus dromedarius (Arabian camel)
Lineage: Eukaryota; Metazoa; Chordata; Mammalia; Artiodactyla; Camelidae
Gene: SNORA72
Rfam family: Small nucleolar RNA SNORA72
About the family: U72 is a member of the H/ACA class of snoRNAs.
Source: Ensembl